GACGAACGCUGGCGGCGUGCUUAACACAUGCAAGUCGAACGGAAAGGCCCUGCUUUUGUGGGGUGCUCGAGUGGCGAACGGGUGAGUAACACGUGAGUAACCUGCCCUUGACUUUGGGAUAACUUCAGGAAACUGGGGCUAAUACCGGAUAGGAGCUCCUGCUGCAUGGUGGGGGUUGGAAAGUUUCGGCGGUUGGGGAUGGACUCGCGGCUUAUCAGCUUGUUGGUGGGGUAGUGGCUUACCAAGGCUUUGACGGGUAGCCGGCCUGAGAGGGUGACCGGCCACAUUGCGACUGAGAUACGGCCCAGACUCCUACGGGAGGCAGCAGUGGGGAAUAUUGCACAAUGGGCGGAAGCCUGAUGCAGCAACGCCGCGUGCGGGAUGACGGCCUUCGGGUUGUAAACCGCUUUCGCCUGUGACGAGGCGUGAGUGACGGUAAUGGGUCAAGAAGCACCGGCUAACUACGUG
RNAcentral lists this ribosomal RNA (468 nucleotides) under uncultured bacterium. RNAcentral describes it as "partial 16S ribosomal RNA". It matches the Rfam family "Bacterial small subunit ribosomal RNA", at positions 28 to 507 of the family's 1533-position model. The record is from RNAcentral.